Molecule: unclassified non-coding RNA, 373 nt
Filed under: soil metagenome
Description: partial contains 5.8S ribosomal RNA, internal transcribed spacer 2, and large subunit ribosomal RNA
Rfam family: 5.8S ribosomal RNA (bases 1-121)
Source: RNAcentral
GAUGAAGAACGCAGCGAAAUGCGAUAAGUAAUGCGAAUUGCAGAAUUCCAGUGAGUCAUCGAAUCUUUGAACGCACAUUGCGCCCUUUGGCAUUCCGAAGGGCAUGCCUGUUCGAGCGUCAUUAUCACCCCUCAAGCCCUCGGCUUGGUGUUGGACGGUUUGGUGGAGGCCCCCUCGGGGGCUCCUGCCCCUCCCAAAGACAAUGACGGCGGCCUCGUUGGACCCCCGGUACACUGAGUUCUUCACGGGACACGUAUCGGACACAUGGGUUUACGGGACACGGUCUGCCUCCCCUCAGGGAGAAUCUUUCUAAGGUUGACCUCGGAUCAGGUAGGGAUACCCGCUGAACUUAAGCAUAUCAAUAAGCGGAGGA